Molecule: non-coding RNA, 571 nt
Organism: Paramuricea clavata
Lineage: Eukaryota; Metazoa; Cnidaria; Anthozoa; Malacalcyonacea; Plexauridae
Source: the annotation of a GenBank genome assembly
UUAGGGACUGGUCAUAAAGUAACUGCUAGGGUGGGCUGGAGGUAAACCACAAAUUUUGCCAAUAAUUUCGGUGACCCAUCUUAGGAUGUAGAUAAAAAUUUCAAAGCCCAUCUAAUCUUACAAAAAAAUUUUCAUGACCCACCCAAUCUAAAUAGGGAAAUACACGUUUAUAAUAAAAAAAACAACUUGCAGGUAUGAACAUUACAAAUAUACACCGGCACUGUAUUGACAUACAUAAUUCCACCAAGCUUGACCAACAUAUUCAUCACCAAUUACGAUACUGAGCUGUUCUCCAGUUGGUUGUAUUUGCUGUGAUUCGACCACUUCUUGUUGUUGUAUUUACAAAGUACUGACUUCAAUAGCAUCAUUUGCAUUUGAUAAUUUGGAUAGUUUUGUUUACUGUUAUUAUUAAUAUCUUUAUUUUUUGAAGUAGACAUGCAUGGAUUUUGUUUCGUGGCCCAACCGUGGAAAUACAAAAAAAUUGGCGACCCAUCGAAACUGCCCAAAGAUUUUCCAUGGCCCAUCCCAAAUCACUACAGCCCACCCUAGCAGUUACUUUAUGACCGGUCCC